UAAGGAAUAUUGGUCAAUGGACGCAAGUCUGAACCAGCCACGCCGCGUGAAGGAUGAAGGUCCUCUGGAUUGUAAACUUCUUUUAUCUGGGACGAAAACGGGAUUUUUAUCUCAAUUGACGGUACCAGAGGAAUAAGCACCGGCUAACUCCGUGCCAGCAGCCGCGGUAAUACGGAGGGUGCGAGCGUUAUCCGGAUUUACUGGGUUUAAAGGGUGCGUAGGUUGGCUUAUAAGUCAGUGGUGAAAUCUCCGAGCUUAACUUGGAAACUGCCGUUGAUACUAUAGGUCUUGAAUUAUCUGGAGGUAAGCGGAAUAUGUCAUGUAGCGGUGAAAUGCUUAGAUAUGACAUAGAACACCAAUUGCGAAGGCAGCUUACUACAUAUAAAUUGACGCUGAGGCACGAAAGCGUGGGGAUCAAACA
Molecule: ribosomal RNA, 421 nt
Filed under: uncultured bacterium
Lineage: Bacteria
Description: bacterial SSU rRNA
Rfam family: Bacterial small subunit ribosomal RNA
Source: RNAcentral